GCGGCCAGCUGGCACCGCCCCGUCGGGCGGCCAGCGCAUCCCUGAGGCCGCACCGCGCGGGUGGCCCGGGCGGCGACGACGGGGGCGGGGGGGCGCGGCGGCCUCCCGGAUGCUUGCGGCAGAAGGCGCUGGUGUACCCCUAUCAUGGGCAGCAACCCCUUGGGAAGAGCUGAAGACCAGCCAGGGGAGAGGGAAAAAAAAAAGCACAGAACACAUGCUGGUUCCAGAUUCCUGGCAAGAAUCAGAGCGCCUGUGCUGUGCUGAAAGCCGGGCCAAGCACAGAGCAGCAGAGGCCGCUUGGAGCAGCUGCUGUCGACUUCCGCCUCGCUGGACAGCAUCCCUUCAGAUCCAUCUUUUCAAGUUAAGCGGUCCAAGGGGUGGUAUCAGAAUUGCAGUGGACACCUGACAAGACCCCCCCCCAGGAGGGUGCAUUGUCCUAAUAAAGGGCAUACCUGACUGUCCCCAGGAAACUGUGGCCAGGACACUGCUGAUCUGCUUGCUGUCAUCUCUCGUGUGGUUCUUGGGUGUCUCUUCAGAACAUGCUCCGAGGCUCCUCUUACGUUUCCCUGCAAAGAACCCUUGUAAGGGGGCUGCCUACACAUGGCCUGCAUCUCUCGUUUCUACCAUUGAGUUAGGUAAGGCAUCCUCAAGCCCCACAGCUGAAAAACUUAUUCGUGUGUCCACUGCAAAGCCACCGACUGUCCACGAGGCCUGGCUCAGAGGCCUCCCUUGCAGAAGGGAGGUUCCGCCAGUGAUGAGCGGGCGCGUCCCGCUGGCAGAGAAAGCUCUGUCUGAAAGCUAUGCCCGGCUUCGAUACAGAGACACCUCCUUGCUCAUUUGGCAACAGCAGCAGCAGAAGUUGGAAUCUGUGCCACCUGGGACGUACCUGAGCCGGAGCCGAAGCAUGUGGUACUCUCAGUACGGGAACGAGGCCAUCCUUGUCCGGGACAGAAACAAGCUGGAGGUCUCCCGGGACACGGGCCAGUCCAAGUUUUGCUCUGUUAUGUAACUUCUGGUGUGAAAAGCGAGCCCAGGCGCCGCCCUGUCUCCACCUCCAGCCCUUGCCCGGAGGUCCUGGCUGUGAACGUGAAGGCUGAGCUGCAGCGGAAGGACCCCAGGAUGCCAGGGAUGGCGCCCCAGCCCAUUUGCAGUCAGGGUGACUGGUGGACUUGGCUUCUGGCCUCCAUUUUGAGCUUCCGGGCGCUGCGGGCACAGCCCAGGCUGGGGCACGACGGGAUGCCACUCUGCUUAUGCUUCCAAAUAAAGCAAGCAAGAGGGACGUCCAGUCACACAACCUUUUCACAUUCUUACAGGUUGUUUUAGUGUCCGCUCUGCCUGGUACAGAAUGGGUCAGGGGACUCCCCGUCGUGGCUCCGUGGUAACGAACCUGACUAGGAUCCAUGAGGAUGAGGGUUCAAUCCUUGGACCCCCUGAGUGGGUGGAGGAUCCGGCAUUGCCGUGAGCUGUGGCGUAAGUUGCAGACGUGGCUUAGAUCUGGCGUGGCUGUGGCCGUGGUGUAGGCCAGCAGCUGCAGCUCCAAUUUGACCCCUAGCCUGGGAACGCCCAUAUGCCACGGGUGCGGCCCUAAAAAGACCAAAAAAAAAAAAAAAGAAAAAAA
RNAcentral lists this long non-coding RNA (1618 nucleotides) under Sus scrofa (pig). RNAcentral describes it as "lncRNA (ENSSSCG00030021219.1)". The record is from RNAcentral. Lineage: Eukaryota; Metazoa; Chordata; Mammalia; Artiodactyla; Suidae.